AAGGGCAUCUUCAACAGUUUGUUGGUUAGGUUGUUGGUAAAAUAUGCCAUGUCAUCAACCAACACCUUAACAUACAACUACUCCAAUGGGUUGUAUCUAGUUUGCCCAAUAAGAUGUGAUGUAAUAAAUAAGGUGCUCUCUCAUUCUACAUUGAAGCUUGUGCAAGGGUGUUGGUUAAUUUACAUACAACCUUGCUCUCUUUCCUCAUUUAUUGCAUG
This 218-nucleotide long non-coding RNA is filed under the name Hordeum vulgare. RNAcentral's name for it is "long non-coding RNA (HVUL_LNC012760)". Lineage: Eukaryota; Viridiplantae; Streptophyta; Magnoliopsida; Poales; Poaceae. The record is from RNAcentral.